GUCCACGCCGGAGCCUUUCAACUGCCUCUCCUGUCUUGCUUUGCAGGAUGUCUCUUUGCUUGGCUUCAAGCUUGGUCUUUCCUUCUGCCUAGCAUCUUGUUUUCCGCUGAGUGGGAUUUCUUCUUUCCCUAACAUUCUGCUUCUCGUCAGGGCUCAGCCUUGGCCUUAUUUCUUGUCUCUGUGGUGAAAGGAAUGAGAACAAGAGAUCCAAUCAUGAAAAAUCCAUCCACUGAACAGGGCUUAGGUGCUGGCGAAAUGUCAGACGCUGGACGUGGAGAGGGCCGGUUAGCCACAGCAGCUGCCACAGCGGGACGCCCAGGGACUUUGGCGCUGCCUCUGCCUACCCAAGCAUCUGCUGGUCUAAAUCUUGAGGAAACCAUAACAUUGUGCUGCCGACCCUGUGCCUUCUCCAUCAGCCUCUUACUGAGGUUUGGAAGCCACAAUAAAAUGCAAAUCGGUGGAAGCUUGAAAUUCCCAGUGUUGCCACAAAUGGAGGAUUGCGGUGAUUGUUGAACACAAGUUGAAGAACUCAACUCUAUUGCAAAUAAAAAGACAUCAGCCACAGUGAACCCAGAUAGGGUUCACUUGGUUCACAACCAAGGAUGACAAAUCUGCCAGAGUGGGCACUGUGCCCUGGCCAGGCCCAGGCCAUACGAGGUCUGCAGGAUGAGAAGGGCCCAGCCGUGAGAAUCCCAGGAGAGGACACAGAAGGCAAGCCCGAUGCCACAGAUCCCGGCCAAACAGAGCGUCGCUUCCGUCA
RNAcentral lists this long non-coding RNA (760 nucleotides) under Heterocephalus glaber (naked mole-rat). Its description in RNAcentral is "lncRNA (ENSHGLG00000036626.1)". The record is from RNAcentral. Lineage: Eukaryota; Metazoa; Chordata; Mammalia; Rodentia; Bathyergidae.